RNAcentral lists this ribosomal RNA (368 nucleotides) under uncultured organism. Its description in RNAcentral is "bacterial SSU rRNA". It matches the Rfam family "Bacterial small subunit ribosomal RNA", at positions 526 to 896 of the family's 1533-position model. The record is from RNAcentral.
CGAAGGUGGCAAGCGUUGUUCGGAUUUACUGGGCGUACAGGGAGCGUAGGCGGUUCGGUAAGCCCUCCGUGAAAUCUCCAGGCUCAACCUGGAAAGUGCAGAGGGGACUGCCGGGCUAGAGGAUGGGAGAGGAGCGCGGAAUUCCCGGUGUAGCGGUGAAAUGCGUAGAGAUCGGGAGGAAGGCCGGUGGCGAAGGCGGCGCUCUGGAACAUUUCUGACGCUGAGGCUCGAAAGCGUGGGGAGCAAACAGGAUUAGAUACCCUGGUAGUCCACGCCUUAAACGAUGGAUACUAAGUGUCGGCGGGUUACCGCCGGUGCCGCAGCUAACGCAGUAAGUAUCCCGCCUGGGAAGUACGGCCGCAAGGUUG